ACGGACAAUGACAUGACAUGACAUUGCCGUGCAACAAAAGCUAGUACUCCCCCCAAAAGAAGAUGUCUUCAGCCAUUGAACCUGAAGCUAUGGAAACAGAUGUGGAUUUUGGGAAUUUGGAGAAUAUGCCUCUGCAGACGCAUGAUGUCGGAAUCCAGUGGCCAGAUCACAUAGAUCACAACCACAGUUUCAGCUGCGGUAACAAGCCGAUGAAGGACUGUGGCACUCAAAUGGAUCCAACACCAUCAGUAUCAGCACAAAAUUUAAAUAACAAAGACUUUAUAAUUUUUGUUGACUUCUUGCUCACAACCACUUGAUACCAAUUUGGCCGUCCAUGAACAAUUUUUACUUGUUUUAAUGAGACUCUGUUUGGGUUUAUUGUUUACUGACUUGGGUAAAAAAUUUGUCCUCUCUUUACAUGACAAUGGAAUGAGUUAUACACACGAUAUUCCUCAGUGCAUCCAUCAAUACCACACAGCAACCUGAAGUCAGGACUGUGGCUGUGCAUUCAAUUGAUGUGGCUCAGUAGGAGUUUCAGCGAAAAAGUGAUGAAAACGAGGCAGAUAACGCACCACCAAAUAAUUUUGAAAUCAACAAAAUUAUAUUCAAAACUUAUGCACAAGCAGGGUUUCGUCUGCAGUCUCUGAAAAAGCUGGGGGAAAGGUGCAUGAAACAAUACAUCGCUGAUGUACUUCACUACAAUAUCUCGCAAAACAGGGGACUUCUAUGAAUUAAUAUUUUUUAAAUUAGUAUUUAUAAUUGCCUCUAUGGGAGUAACUGGUGCAGUGAUACAUUUUUGAAUAUGAUGCAGGAAUUUCAAAUUAUGACUCCGUCUGUUAGUCGUAUUCUCCAUUUGUACAUUAUUUACAACAUGUUUGUCACCCCAUUAUAUGACAUGGUACCUUCCAAAUGGGAACGUGCCAACAGGGGUCAGUCUGUGGUCGGUUCAGUUGCAGCCGGGGUCAGUUGCAGCCGCUGCCUGGCACUUAAGCUGUCCUCCAUCAUGCUGUCUGAAGUUUAACCUGUUUCAAUUCCUCUAAAGUUGCAAUGCCAUGGAUAACUUUUCCGGGUAUGGAUCCUACAACAGUUCCAGUAUUGAGUAAGUUAAGUAAGUUAAGCUAAUUGUGAAGUAGGCUAACAAGUGCUAACAUGCUAAUUUUAACAAGCUGGUUUACUUGCUGAGCUAUUACAUGUUAGCAAUGAACAGUUGGUAACUACACUAACAGUCAUCCCUUCAAAAUGUAUUGACAGUGUUUCAUUGCCAGAAACCAUGUGUGUGCAGUGUGGGCAGUUAGCUUAGUUUAACGUUGGCUUAAUUUGUUGGCUUAUGUUAACAUGUCUCAUGCACCGUUUUCCAAGAGACAUGGUGGAAAGGUCUCGGACCCUCUGCGCUGUGGGGGUGGUGGGGGACCAUAUUCGCAGGGCAAUUGGAACACUGUGCAAUUAGCUAUUUUGCUCACUUAGCAUUUAUUAAUGUUCCAGCAUGAUCUAUGUAUGCAUAUAUGUGUGAGAGACGCAGUCCAGCUGGGGAAGGGGCUGACUGAAGGAGAUGGGGGAUGGCAGCCUACUUAAUUAAUGGGAAACACUGGUUGAUGUGUUAAAAUCGUUUCUGCCUUUAGUGGAAAUGGCAGGCAGACUUGACCUUAAUGUAGACAACUUACUGCUUGGAGGUGUGCUUCUCGGCUGCCAUUAUCAGCACAUUCUCACCCUUUGAAAUACAGAUUGUGACUUAUCAACCAAUUUAUUGCAUUUUACUGUAUAUUCACAGUGUGGUUGUAUGUGAUUUUCAACUGCUAAUAUCAGCACAGACAUGCUUCUAGGUCUUUCUGAGGAGGGUUUGCAUGAUCUCUUUCUGGGGCCUGAGCACUUUUUAAGAAGGAGAGCCAUUUGGAGGAUGACACAUGGAGAAACUGAGGGUGAAGAGUUAGACCAGCUUCGACCAGAUACUUCGUCUGGGACUUGUGAACUUGCCAGCUCCCACUGCCCCACUACCUCAACCCUUGUGCCCACCACUUCUCCCCCCCCCCCCCUUUCAAACCCAGGAGACCAACAUGUCACCAGCAGAACUGUACAGCUUGUAAGUCCACAAUAUGUUGUAUACAGAGACACAGAGCUGGAGCAGUCAAGAACCACCUUUUCUGAAAAAAAAAAGUGCUGGACAAGAAGGAGACUAUACACUCUCCAAAGAGCUUCGCUUUUGCUUAAUAAGGAAUACAGUGACAAGCAGGAUUGUCAUCAACAGAGCUGCAGGGGAUGAAUUCCAAUAUCCAUGCAGCCAUGAGCUAACUGUGAUGGCUAAGCAUCUCAUUGAGUACUACCCAAGGUCUGGAGCCAGUGGAGCUGAGUGGGAAUCUGUGAAGAAGCAGCUUUUGAAAAGGGUCCAGAAUGUGACACCCCCCAAAAAAGAAGCAGGGAGCAACUUCGGAAGAAAAAGGGCAACUGGGCAUUAGCUUUGAGAGCAGCAGCAGUCAGCAGCAGCCAGGAGUCAUCCACUGAUGACUGAGUUCAAUGCUUCAACGUUAAUCUUGGAAAGAUCACCACAGUCGACAGGCAGUUCUCUAGAGGCUGAACAGGUGGAUGGAGGGCCUGAAACAACUGACAGCCCACAGAGCCAGGCAAGACACUACAAAGUUCUGCAGGAGCUAUACAAAUCCAGGCCCAGACCCAACAACAAGGAUGUUGCCCAGCUGUUGGACCUUGAAUACCAAGCACGACAGACUUAUAUUGACUCCGAUGUUAUGAAGGAGCAGGACAGGACAGGCCACCGAGAUUCUUCAAGCAUAUCCCUGCUUCAGAAAAGUGGAUCAUUCUGCAGAGGACCCCAACACUUUUCUUCAGGCAAGACCACUCUUCAGCCCUGUGGCCAUCGUAUGUGAAACCAACUGCAUACUGGCCAUGGGAACCAUGCCUGUGCUGAUCUUCCCAAAAGAGGACAUCUCUGACAGUGUGAUGUAUAUCAUGGCAUGUUACAACACAUUUCACCUCACAUAUCCCAAGUGCAUAGCCAUACUUCCUCAUAUAAAAUGCUAUGGCUGAGUGGAGAAGUUUAUCACUGAGUAGAACAUUAGUAAUAAAGUUGAAGCCCUGUUCCAGUAAUGUUUGCCUUGGAUGAUACAGUUUGUUGAGCUGUCACAGGAAUUUGGCACUGUGUCAGAUGUUUAUAUAUUAUUAUGUAUAUUGUUAUACAGUUAAAAUUUCAGUUUACCAGCCUCAGUCUUGUCCAGUGGCUGUCAUGUUUUGUUCUUAUUUCAGGAAUUUUAAGAAAAUUAUUCUACAUAAUGAGAAAAAUAUUCAAGAAAAGUACAACAGUUUUCAGUAUAGCUUGCUGUUUCAAGAAAUAUAAUCCCUAGUGCAUGGUAUUAUUACAAGAUGACGGCACUAGCAUUUUCUUAAUUUAAGAAUAUUUUAAAAUAUUUUGAGAAAAUAGCUCUCAUAUAUUUCAUUUCAAUCAAGAAAAAUGCACUUCAUAUUAGUGAGAAUACACUCAUUUUGAGGUAUUUGUGCAUUCAUUGAGGUUAGAUUUGUUUACUUGUUUCGGAGAGUCUUGACAAGCCACAUUUUGUUGUUCUGUUUAAUUUUGCUCAUUUUAAUUAAUAUGCACCUAAUUUUUGAAUUUUUUUGUUGUUUUUGAAAGCAUGCUCUUGCAGUAACUUCUGUCUUGAUGGCAUUUACAGUAGACCAGUCCAGUUUCUCUGUGUUUAUGCUUCUAACUACAGCAGAUAGCAUUGGUAGCUUUUCUAGAUUCACUGACAUAGAAAAUGGUAUGUAAUUAGCAAUGGCAUAGUCAUAGUAUAUAAAUCUUUGUGGCAUUUGUGCAAAUACAGUGAUCCAGCCAUGGGGUUGUACGCCACGCUUCACUGAUGUAAAUAUAACUAUUAGCAGGCAUUGUCAGCAUUAAUGUCCACUACAAUAAAUUCAACUUGAGUAGAGGAACUAACAAAUGCUAAUCUAUUUACAUAUUCAGCCUCAUUCUGGGAGAACU
Acanthopagrus latus (yellowfin seabream) is the source of this 3982-nucleotide long non-coding RNA. RefSeq lists it as uncharacterized. The record is from RefSeq and is a predicted model, not a curated record. NCBI's taxonomy places the organism in Eukaryota, Metazoa, Chordata, Actinopteri, Spariformes, Sparidae. The transcript has 6 exons.